AGUGAACGCUGGCGGUAGGCCUAACACAUGCAAGUCGAACGGCAGCACAGUAAGAGCUUGCUCUUACGGGUGGCGAGUGGCGGACGGGUGAGGAAUACAUCGGAAUCUACUUUUUCGUGGGGGAUAACGUAGGGAAACUUACGCUAAUACCGCAUACGACCUACGGGUGAAAGCAGGGGAGCUUCGGACCUUGCGCGAUUGAAUGAGCCGAUGUCGGAUUAGCUAGUUGGCGGGGUAAAGGCCCACCAAGGCGACGAUCCGUAGCUGGUCUGAGAGGAUGAUCAGCCACACUGGAACUGAGACACGGUCCAGACUCCUACGGGAGGCAGCAGUGGGGAAUAUUGGACAAUGGGCGCAAGCCUGAUCCAACCAUACCGCGUGGGUGAAGAAGGCCUUCGGGUUGUAAAGCCCUUUUGUUGGGAAAGAAAAGCAGCAGGUUAAUACCCCGCUGUUCUGACGGUACCCAAAGAAUAAGUACCGGCUAACUUCGUG
Molecule: ribosomal RNA, 492 nt
Filed under: uncultured bacterium
Lineage: Bacteria
Description: partial 16S ribosomal RNA
Rfam family: Bacterial small subunit ribosomal RNA
Source: RNAcentral